Molecule: long non-coding RNA, 516 nt
Filed under: Hordeum vulgare
Lineage: Eukaryota; Viridiplantae; Streptophyta; Magnoliopsida; Poales; Poaceae
Description: long non-coding RNA (HVUL_LNC007851)
Source: RNAcentral
UUGAGAAGAAGGUGAAGGGCUGACGGCCAUGAUCAGACAUGCCGGUACUUUUGCGAAGGGGGUGGAGCUGUUCUUCAAGAGCAGGCCCUAGCUGAUUAACUAUGUUGAGGUGAAUUGUAGAUGUUAUCAAGCCGUUGUUGAUUGAUCUGACAGGUGCAAGCAGGCCUCAAAUUCGACUUCUGAUGAGUACUGGCGACUGGCAACCGAUUCACUAGGACUAAAACCUUUGCCAUGUUUGAAGUGCUGUCAGGUCUCGAUGAUGGACAGCUGGAUAUUGAUGGAAAUUAUGCCGACGGCAGGUGCUGACGCAAGGCUGGUUAGAUCACAAGCUACAGUUUCGUUUUCUAUUGUUUAAUGCAUAAGUUAUUUCCCCAGCAUAUGUGUUAGUUUAAAUUGUGCUAGAACUUUUGUAGAAUAACGAGCAUGUUAUUAUUCCCGGCUUUUGUUAAAUCAUGUACUCUCUUGAUUUUUGAUAUAUUUUGCAACUUUGGUGUCAUUCUGCAACUUUGAGAGGGG